Molecule: long non-coding RNA, 503 nt
Filed under: Zostera marina
Lineage: Eukaryota; Viridiplantae; Streptophyta; Magnoliopsida; Alismatales; Zosteraceae
Description: long non-coding RNA (ZMAR_LNC001332)
Source: RNAcentral
UCCUCCUCCUUACAUUCUACAGGGACAGACGCUUCUCUUCCAACAUGCAUGGUAAGAAAACUGCAGACCGGGGGAGCUUCUACCAACGGAGACUGGCGUCUUCUAGAUCGCGAACUGCGGUUUCGACGUAAACACGAGGUCAUAGACCUCACUGGCAGCGACGACGACGAGUACUUCUGCACGCCGCCCAGCAUCCGACGCCGGCUCAACCCGCAGACUCCGCCAGUUGGGUACGAGGUACUAUCGCUAGCACCUCCAGGUAUUUUAUUUUUAAUACUCGAAAAUAUCUAUCUUUCUAACCGCAUGGUUCUCUAUAUUUUAUUUUUUUGCGUCAAAUGUUAAUCUAGGUUUCUUUUCGUUUUAUCUACUAUUCUUAAAUCUCCAGCCGCAUGUUUCUCUGUUUUUCUAUCUACUCUUCGUUUGCCAUCUCUUAUUUUGUGUCAUUUUUUUGUUGAAGUUGUGUGUCGUCUUCACGUUUUGCCGAAGUUAGUCAUACUUGUCUC